CUGGGGUUAUUGCUCAGUGAUAGAGCACUUGCCUAGAAUGCGUGAUGCACUGGGUUCGAUUCUCAGACUGCAUA
This 74-nucleotide transfer RNA is filed under the name Marmota monax (woodchuck). RNAcentral describes it as "tRNA.Ser". The record is from RNAcentral. Lineage: Eukaryota; Metazoa; Chordata; Mammalia; Rodentia; Sciuridae.